GACGAACGCUGGCGGCGUGCCUAAUACAUGCAAGUCGAACGCUUCUUUCCUCCCGAGUGCUUGCACUCAAUUGGAAAGAGGAGUUGCGGACGGGUGAGUAACACGUGGGUAACCUACCCAUCAGAGGGGGAUAACACUUGGAAACAGGUGCUAAUACCGCAUAACAGUUUAUGCCGCAUGGCAUAAGAGUGAAAGGCGCUUUCGGGUGUCGCUGAUGGAUGGACCCGCGGUGCAUUAGCUAGUUGGUGCGGUAACGGCUCACGAAGGGCACGAUGCAUAGCCGACCUGCGGGGUUGAUGGGCCACACUGGGACUGAGACACGGCCCAGACUCCUACGGGAGGCAGCAGUAGGGAAUCGUCGGCAAUGGACGAAAGUCUGACCGAGCAACGCCGCGUGAGUGAAGAAGGUUUUCGGAUCGUAAAACUCUGUUGUGAGAGAAGAACAAGGACGUUAGUAACUGAACGUCCCCUGACGGUAUCUAACCAGAAAGCCACGGCUAACUACGUG
RNAcentral lists this ribosomal RNA (508 nucleotides) under uncultured bacterium. RNAcentral describes it as "partial 16S ribosomal RNA". It matches the Rfam family "Bacterial small subunit ribosomal RNA", at positions 28 to 507 of the family's 1533-position model. The record is from RNAcentral.